UACGUAGGGUGCAAGCGUUGUCCGGAAUUAUUGGGCGUAAAGCGCUCGUAGGCGGUUUGUCGCGUCGAAUGUGAAAACCCGGGGCUCAACCCCGGGCCUGCAUUCGAUACGGGCAGACUAGAGUUCGGUAGGGGAGUCUGGAAUUCCUGGUGUAGCGGUGAAAUGCGCAGAUAUCAGGAGGAACACCGGUGGCGAAGGCGGGACUCUGGGCCGAUACUGACGCUGAGGAGCGAAAGCGUGGGGAGCAAACAGG
RNAcentral lists this ribosomal RNA (253 nucleotides) under uncultured bacterium. Its description in RNAcentral is "partial 16S ribosomal RNA". It matches the Rfam family "Bacterial small subunit ribosomal RNA", at positions 524 to 776 of the family's 1533-position model. The record is from RNAcentral.